RNAcentral lists this ribosomal RNA (709 nucleotides) under uncultured bacterium. Its description in RNAcentral is "bacterial SSU rRNA". It matches the Rfam family "Bacterial small subunit ribosomal RNA", at positions 94 to 820 of the family's 1533-position model. The record is from RNAcentral.
AGUGGCGAACGGGUGAGGAUCACGUGAGAAACCUGCCCCAGACUUUGGGAUAACAAUUGGAAACGAUUGCUAAUACCGAAUGACGUCGGAGAACCGCAUGGUUCACUGACGAAAGGAAAUCCGGUUUGGGAGGGUCUCGCGGCCUAUCAGCUUGUUGGUGGGGUAAUGGCCUACCAAGGCAACGACGGGUAGCUGGUCUGAGAGGAUGAUCAGCCACACUGGGACUGAGACACGGCCCAGACUCCUACGGGAGGCAGCAGUGGGGAAUCUUGCGCAAUGGGCGAAAGCCUGACGCAGCAACGCCGCGUGCGGGAUGAAGGCCUUCGGGCUGUAAACCGCUUUCAGCAGGAACGAAAAUGACGGUACCUGCAGAAGAAGGAGCGGCCAACUACGUGCCAGCAGCCGCGGUGACACGUAGGCUCCAAGCGUUGUCCGGAUUUAUUGGGCGUAAAGAGCUCGUAGGCGGUUUAGUAAGUCGGGUGUUAAAACUCUGGGCUCAACCCGGAGAGGCCAUCCGAUACUGCUGUGACUUGAGUUCAGGAGGGGAGCGGGGAAUUCCUAGUGUAGCGGUGAAAUGCGCAGAUAUUAGGAGGAACACCGGUGGCGAAGGCGCCGCUCUGGACUGAAACUGACGCUGAGGAGCGAAAGCAUGGGUAGCAAACAGGAUUAGAUACCCUGGUAGUCCAUGCCGUAAACGGUGGGCACUAGG